Molecule: small nucleolar RNA, 81 nt
Organism: Dicentrarchus labrax (European seabass)
Lineage: Eukaryota; Metazoa; Chordata; Actinopteri; Moronidae
Source: Ensembl
GUCUUGUCAGUGAUGUCUUUAAAACACAAAUGUCUGAACAAAUGAUUUCCUGUGAUUCAUCCUUCUGUGCUGAGACAAGAC